ACGUAGGGGGCAAGCGUUGUUCGGAAUUACUGGGCGUAAAGGGUGCGCAGGCGGUUUUGCAAGUCAGAUGUGAAAGCCCCGGGCUUAACCUGGGAAUUGCGUUUGAAACUACAAGGCUAGAGUGCAGCAGAGGGGAGUGGAAUUCCAUGUGUAGCAGUGAAAUGCGUAGAGAUGUGGAAGAACACCGAUGGCGAAGGCAGCUCCCUGGGUUGACACUGACGCUCAUGCACGAAAGCGUGGGGAGCAAACAGG
Molecule: ribosomal RNA, 252 nt
Filed under: uncultured Nitrosomonas sp.
Lineage: Bacteria; Pseudomonadati; Pseudomonadota; Betaproteobacteria; Nitrosomonadales; Nitrosomonadaceae
Description: partial 16S ribosomal RNA
Rfam family: Bacterial small subunit ribosomal RNA
Source: RNAcentral